AUGUAUUGUCAGAGCUCCACGCUGGGUGAUAUUUCAUCCCUGGAGGCCUGCCAGGUCAUUCCUGAGGACAGACACUAGGCUAUAUCUGCUGGCUGACAGCAGCCAGGACAUAAAAGCUACCAUUGUUUCAGCAGUCUGUUGUGGCCUCAGUCAGUGCACAUCUUAUAGACAACAGCCAGUUUGUCACAAUGUCAAUUCAGGUGAGCAUCAUUUUGCAGCUUGUUUUGGAUACUGUGUCUUUUUUUUAUCUGUUUUGU
This is a long non-coding RNA of Pygocentrus nattereri (red-bellied piranha), 257 nucleotides long. The record is from Ensembl. NCBI's taxonomy places the organism in Eukaryota, Metazoa, Chordata, Actinopteri, Characiformes, Serrasalmidae.